Molecule: long non-coding RNA, 1693 nt
Organism: Impatiens glandulifera
Lineage: Eukaryota; Viridiplantae; Streptophyta; Magnoliopsida; Ericales; Balsaminaceae
Exons: 6
Source: RefSeq, a predicted model, not a curated record
AAAGAAAGGUUAGGUAUUGGAUGAGAACCUUGCAUUUGUGUGAGUGAAGGCGAGAGAGAAUAUGAUCAACCUCUUCCGCAGAGUGAAGACGAACCUUUCAAAAGUAUGCGGAUUCGAUAGAAGAUCCCUCGAAUUGCAUCUAGCGGGAGAAUCCCUAAACUCCUCUACAUCUCCAUCUCUCGUCCAUGGAAUUCACGUCUUCUAGUGUCCCGAUGUGCUAGGUAUCGUCUCUAAGUUAUCCGAAAGCAUAGCCUCAAAUGGAGGAAAUAUACUCGGGGCUGAUAUCUUUGUUCCCGAAAAGAAGCAAGUCUUCUAUUCCAGAAGGUCCACCUUUUCAUUUUCCUUUUUUAUUUUAUUUGCACUAAUUUCAUAAUUUAGUUUCUUCCUUAUUUUCCAAUACUAUCUAUAGCCAUCAAUAUGUAUGAAAUUAGCAUCCAUUCUUAGAUUAAAGAUGAAAGGCCUAAAUAUAUUUUAAGAGAGGCAAAAAUAAAAUAGGUCUUUAAAAUGUUGGGAAGUGAUCUUAAUAUGAAUUUUAAGAUAGAGUGUAAGUAUUCGAUGUUAUGGAAGUCCAAAACAAAAUUAGAGCCUGCCUUAUGAAUUUGUCCAUGGAUUGUGGAUGAUAGUCUCUGCAACCUUUUAAGAAGAGAAGAGUUAAUGAGGGAAGUUCAAAUGUGAAGCUAGUUUUAAUUCUGACACUGAUACACAACUGACACAAGUAUGAUUCACAACCAAUCUGCCUUCGUUUUAACUAUUUCCUGCAUUUACAAAAUGGAGUUCUAUUUUCCUAACACUAUUUUAUAUUUCAAGGAUGCAAUGAGUUUGUCUUCAAUCCUGUCGAGUGAGAAUGGAAGAGGAAUUCCAAAAGCUGGCAAGGAUGUUUAAUGCAAUGAGAUCAGUUGUUCGAGUGCCUUCUCUUGAUCCCAAAUAUAGGAUUGUUGUUCUUGCUUCCAAACAGGACCAUUGUCUGGUGGAUUUGUUGCAUGGAUGGCAGGAUGGGAAGCUAUCAGUAGAAAUAAUUUGUGUGAUAAGUAACCACGAAAGAGGCCCAAAUACCCACGUGGCAUGAUUUUUAGAACGCCAUGCUAUCCCGUAUCAUUAGAGAGAGGCGGAGAUCCUGAAUUUGGUUAAAGAUACAGAUUUUUUAAUACUUGUUAGGUACAUGCAGGUACACAUAAAAUGUUUCAGACUCCUUGUUAGGAUGUUUAUCACACUAUCAAGCAUUAGCGACUCCUUGUUCUUAUGUUUAUAUUUUAAAGGAGUCAACUUUGUAUUAAAAACGUAUGUGAAUGCUUAGGUGCGAUCAUUUUACAGAAAAAAUGUAAAAAAAGGAAAGACAAGAUACAAAAAAAGUUAGAUUCCGAUCAAGUCAAAACAAUCUCAUCAUGUGCAAAUUCACUAUAAAUGUGUGAAGUUCCAUUGUGCAAACAGCGUUUUGAAGCUGGUGUGAUGUUAAUAGGAGCACCAAAUCAUUUUGUAACUGAAGAGCUUGAUGGAGGGCCUAUUAUUGAACAAAUGGUUGAGAGAGUUUCACACAAAGACAACCUACAGAUCUUUAUAUUGAAAUCGGAAACCCUAGAGCUUUAUAGUUUAAGGUUAAUUUAUGGUUUUUGUGGAUUGAUGAAUUGUGGAUUUAUGAUUGUAGUUUGUGGAUUAUUGUUGUUUUGGAUUGAUGAUUGUGGUUUUUGGUUAUUAA